RNAcentral lists this ribosomal RNA (543 nucleotides) under Fusarium graminearum. RNAcentral's name for it is "eukaryotic LSU rRNA". The stretch from base 186 to 339 matches the Rfam family "5.8S ribosomal RNA". The record is from RNAcentral. Lineage: Eukaryota; Fungi; Ascomycota; Sordariomycetes; Hypocreales; Nectriaceae.
CAUUAGGUCUCCGUUGGUGACCAGCGGAGGGUCAUUACCGAGUUUACAACUCCCAAACCCCUGUGAACAUACCUUAUGUUGCCUCGGCGGAUCAGCCCGCGCCCCGUAAAAAGGGACGGCCCGCCGCAGGAACCCUAAACUCUGUUUUUAGUGGAACUUCUGAGUAUAAAAAACAAAUAAAUCAAAACUUUCAACAACGGAUCUCUUGGUUCUGGCAUCGAUGAAGAACGCAGCAAAAUGCGAUAAGUAAUGUGAAUUGCAGAAUUCAGUGAAUCAUCGAAUCUUUGAACGCACAUUGCGCCCGCCAGUAUUCUGGCGGGCAUGCCUGUUCGAGCGUCAUUUCAACCCUCAAGCCCAGCUUGGUGUUGGGAGCUGCAGUCCUGCUGCACUCCCCAAAUACAUUGGCGGUCACGUCGAGCUUCCAUAGCGUAGUAAUUUACACAUCGUUACUGGUAAUCGUCGCGGCCACGCCGUUAAACCCCAACUUCUGAAUGUUGACCUCGGAUCAGGUAGGAAUACCCGCUGAACUUAAGCAUAUCAAAA